GCCGAAGGCGUCACGGGCAGUAUUUCAGUGACGGUGACUACAUGGCUUUUCUACCUAAUCUCGGGAGUCCUGCAGUGCCAUUUCUGCCAUCUCUACUGGUUCCAUGUGAGCCACACAAAUGUAAGAGGCAGGGACAUAGGCCCCACUUCUUGGUGGGAAGAGCAUCAAGGUCAGAUGUUAGGAGAGCAGGUAGGAUGAGAGAUGCUGCCGCAGCCAUCUCUGGAAGACAGACUUUUUCCCGGCCGCCCCCAUGAGGACAGAUUUCUCCAGUCCCUCCCUCUUUGAUGUGAUUAGCCCCCGGUUCCCAAGCAGAGUCGGAUUUGCCAAGGUCACCUGAGCGCCAGCAGACACAGAAAGCAAACGUGUCCUUGUGGCCUCCACAGGGCAGCCGGCUCUCAGACAGCAGACACUUUUCUCACUGUGGAGAGAGGGUGCAGAUGCUAAACCCCCCAAGACCUCCACAGUCCACCCCUUUGAACACUCACUACCCAAUGUACCCUUUCUUCUAUGCUUCCAUUCUGUUAUCUAAACUCCCUGCACAG
Pipistrellus kuhlii (Kuhl's pipistrelle) is the source of this 542-nucleotide long non-coding RNA. RefSeq lists it as uncharacterized. The transcript has 3 exons. Lineage: Eukaryota; Metazoa; Chordata; Mammalia; Chiroptera; Vespertilionidae. The record is from RefSeq and is a predicted model, not a curated record.